UCAUUCGUAGCUCUGGUGCUUAGAGUACUCGUCUACUAACCGAGCGGUCGGAGGUUCGAAUCCUCCCGGAUGCACCA
Molecule: transfer RNA, 77 nt
Filed under: Salmonella enterica subsp. enterica serovar Enteritidis
Lineage: Bacteria; Pseudomonadati; Pseudomonadota; Gammaproteobacteria; Enterobacterales; Enterobacteriaceae
Description: tRNA-Ser
Rfam family: tRNA
About the family: Transfer RNA (tRNA) molecules are approximately 80 nucleotides in length. Their secondary structure includes four short double-helical elements and three loops (D, anti-codon, and T loops).
Source: RNAcentral